Molecule: long non-coding RNA, 3566 nt
Organism: Anopheles arabiensis
Lineage: Eukaryota; Metazoa; Arthropoda; Insecta; Diptera; Culicidae
Exons: 2
Source: RefSeq, a predicted model, not a curated record
UCGCAUUGCGUUCUCUAUUUCCAGGACUCACCCAGUCCGAUUGCACUGGAGCCGUGUGAAGGCAACAGGGCGGCAGUUCUUUCGCUUCUAGUCCGGCUGCCAACGGGCGGCCUUCAGCAUUCUCCUCCUGGUCAAUCGGCAGGUCUUGCCGUCGCAAGUGCAUUAGUAACGUUAGGAAACCCACGACGCUCGUCGAUAGAACAUCCGAAGGAACCUAAGACUAAGCGUAAGCAGAGCCAACACCCUGAUAGCUGUAUAUAAGAUAUCGUGUCUCUACGUGUACGUCCUCCCUCCCUUUGGACAAAGCAAACCUGGGGUCACAGCAGGGGUCAAACACGCUUGGCGGCAAUGCGCCGGCCGGACCUCAAACCCUACCGGGGAUCAUACAAUAUGUGUGUGGACUAAAUGUGCCGAAUAACGACUGCUAUUCGCAUCCACCCCACUCCCGCCUCCCUCCCCACGCAUUCGGUGUGUGUGUGUGUGUCCGUUAAAAAAGGUGAACCGGCGCUAAAUGUACGUAUGACAUCAGCAACAGGGCACAUCAGUUAGCAAGGGAAGGGAAGAACGAAGCUUUAUUGAAGGUGAAGCGAAUUCGAAACGGCACCGCCGUUGGGUAAAGACGAAUGAAAGCGAGCUAGAAUGGCUUGCAAGCCUGGAUAAAAUACAGAGUCUGAGACUAGAUAAACACACACACCCACACAUACACAUAUACAUACGCGCAUCUGCGAAGAAAGGCGUGGGGUUUACAAUAAUGCUAAUUAUUAAUUACACUACCAAUAAUAAUAAUUAUAAAAUAAUAAUAAUAAUGAUCAUGAAGCUGCUGCUGCUGCUGCUGGUAAUGCAGAUGAUGGUAGCCGAUGGCGGCAACGUGCAGUACACGGUCGGAUAAAGAGCGUAAUGUGGAGGAGUGAGUUGGGUUUAUUUUUGCAUGGUUAAUUGUCUAAUUUUUAAAACUGUAGUCAGGGGCUGUAGUAAUUAGAAACCAACCGCUAAUAUCGCCUUGUUUUGGGGGCGGUGCGUUUUUUUUCUUGAGAUGUUCCGUAGCGCGAGCAAGGAGAGAAGGAGAGUGCGUGUCUCCAGGCGAUAGAAUUUCAGUUUUCUGGUGUUUUGUUUCGUGCGUAAGAAUUUUUGAAAGCAAUGGCCAGAUGUUUGUGAGUAGAGCUCUCGGCCAUGGUUCAGUGCAGCAUUGCUCAAACCUUUGCCAAUCUGGGGGUUGUAUGACCCGUAAUUUUCAAGCGAUGUAUCGGAAAAAGUGUGCUUAAGCUGUGUAUCGUUUGCUAUUUUAAGUGAAGCCGUUCUUCAACAGUGCGGGAGGAUAGGACUUGCUACAUUUGCUGCAGACAUUUAUUUGCAUUACAACAUGUGCAUGUGUGCGUGCUGUAAAAAAAUACUCACAAGCGGGGAGAAAAAGGACUGGAGAAUUGGUAGAGCAAAUAAUUCUCCUUUAUCUGAUUGGUUUGAAUUGUGCGCUGCUUUGUUUUGGUUUUUGUUUGUUUAAAUCUACUCUGAUCUAAGAGAGAUAAAGAAGAAAAACACUACAGUGAAUAUUAGAGGGGGAGGUGCAAGAUACAUUUUAAACAUUCAUUUAUGCACUUUUUCAUCCUCUACUAGGCCAAAGCAGUGAGUGGAACAUGAAUUUUAACGCCAAAUUCAUGGUAUCAAUUUUAUGCGCGAACACAUUGACUGAAACUCAUAGAAACAUGCUGCUAUAAUCGGAUGGGGACAAACGAGAGUAGAAUGUAAUGCGGGAAUGAAGAAUGGAACAAAAUAACAUAAAAAACAAGCCGUUACAGAGAGAGAGAGAGCGAGAGAAAAGUGCCACGUGGAUAGGGCACUGUGCAGAUAGAGUGCGGUUAGUAAGCCGUUGUUGUAGUGGGUUCGAAAGUGGCCCUAGAAAAAGCAAAUCGGAGUGCGAAACAAAACAUUGAAUGCUGAGUGUAUGUGUGUGUGAGAGAGAGAAAGGAAAAAAAACAAUGUGAUUAUUAGAUAUUUAUUAAUCCACAGACACUGAACUUCACUUCGCCGUCUGUAUCCUCUGUUUCGCGUGUUCUCAUCUCAUGCCGUCUUAGUGCGUUUGUGGGGGGUUUGGUUUUGCGUUUUGGGUUUGUUUUCCGGGGUUUUCCGUCACUGUGCCACGCGGACGGCACCGCGGCACGGCAAUUUAGAAGUGAUCUCGCAUACCCGUUCCAUAAUGAAGGAUCCAACGCGAUCGCGAUCGUGUGCGCUAUAUCGGUCGUCGGUUGUUGAGCUUCCCGCGGCACCCUCAGUCGCUUGUAAAGGUCUGUCGCGUUUAAAUAGCAAUAGGUUUCAUCAGAAUCUGUGUUGUGUUCUCUUGUGCAAAGCAUUAGGGGUGGGUAAGCCAAGGGUGUGUGUGUGUUGGAAGGGGUUUUUAGAGGGACCGGUAGACCGACCGCGUGUGCGAAUGAUGAGGUUUUGAAACAGAGGUGUGCGCGUGUUCGUAAAGGUUAAAACAAACAUUGGCAAAUAAAAAGUGAAAGGAGGCCACCCAGCAUGCCCAGGCCACCGAAAACAACCGCUGCUACAAAACGCUUUAGGAUAUUAUAGCAACGAAUGAGGACAUUUAAACAACAAACAACCAUCCUUGGUGUGUUUGUGGGGUGUAUAUGCGCUGCAGCAAUGAAACAAUAUCGCCCUCGGACACUUUCCCACGUCGCAGAACAAAGAGGAAUGGGCAUUUGUCGCCUUUCAACAAAAUUUAGCAUAAGCGUAUACGUGUGUGUGUGUGUGUGUGCUAACGUGUUUCCGUUUUGCAGAGAGACUGUGACUAUAAUAUAAAAGAAUAUGUAUACAUAUGAACUGAACACAAAUUACAUUAUUUGAGAGUGCGAUGCGCCCGAUUAUCUUUGACCCACACACACACACACACACACACACACACACACACACACACACAUAAUGCUUUUUUAAAUGCAGGAUCAUACACGUGGUCACCGAAAUUCGUUUGGUUUUGGGUUAGCUCGUUUGGUUUCGAUACUAUAUAGCCUCUGGAAGUGUAAUCGAUGCCAGCAUAGCACACCGAAACCUCCCGGAGAUGGCAUGGUAAGCAAUAAACCGCAAGUGGGCGGGCAGCGGUGGGUGAUGGGGUCGUAGUAGGAAAGAGAAGGAUACGAAUUUUAAACAACAGGACACAAGCGAUGAGUUGGUUAGAGUGUGCCGAAACAGAGGUUGACAGGCAUGGCAACCUCGCGCAUACAUAUAAGCAAAUACGGUGAACAAAGCAGGUCGUAGUCGGGAGAUCAGCACGAGCGAGCAAGUAGGCAUGGAUGGAGGCCGGCAGAAAUAGUAUACAACACGAGGAUGAUGUGCGUUUUGUAGUGCAACGAAGGGAAGAUUUUGAAGCAAAGCUAGUGCUGGAAUAAACGUGUCCGGGGGGUUUUUAUCUUACAAAGCCGAAAAUCAAACGAAAUCCACUUCUCCACUCACUCCACCACCACCACCACCAAUGACAAACAUCGGAAAAAAGCAUGAAAAAUGGAAGAAAUUAAGUAUUUUAACGGCAUUUGUUGGCAGUAAUAAAAGAACAGUCAAGAAUACCAAAAACCGUA